GCAUUCUUAGCUCAGUUGGAUAGAGCAACAACCUUCUAAGUUGAAGGUCACAGGUUCAAAUCCUGUAGGGUGCA
Molecule: transfer RNA, 74 nt
Filed under: Closterium baillyanum
Lineage: Eukaryota; Viridiplantae; Streptophyta; Zygnematophyceae; Desmidiales; Closteriaceae
Description: tRNA-Arg
Rfam family: tRNA
About the family: Transfer RNA (tRNA) molecules are approximately 80 nucleotides in length. Their secondary structure includes four short double-helical elements and three loops (D, anti-codon, and T loops). Further hydrogen bonds mediate the characteristic L-shaped molecular structure. tRNAs have two regions of fundamental functional importance: the anti-codon, which is responsible for specific mRNA codon recognition, and the 3' end, to which the tRNAs corresponding amino acid is attached (by aminoacyl-tRNA synthetases). tRNAs cope with the degeneracy of the genetic code in two manners: having more than one tRNA (with a specific anti-codon) for a particular amino acid; and 'wobble' base-pairing, i.e. permitting non-standard base-pairing at the 3rd anti-codon position.
Source: RNAcentral